Molecule: ribosomal RNA, 253 nt
Filed under: uncultured bacterium
Lineage: Bacteria
Description: partial 16S ribosomal RNA
Rfam family: Bacterial small subunit ribosomal RNA
Source: RNAcentral
UACGGGGGGGGCAAGCGUUGUUCGGAAUUACUGGGCGUAAAGGGCUCGUAGGUGGCCAACUAAGUCAGACGUGAAAUCCCUCGGCUUAACCGGGGAACUGCGUCUGAUACUGGAUGGCUUGAGGUUGGGAGAGGGAUGCGGAAUUCCAGGUGUAGCGGUGAAAUGCGUAGAUAUCGGGAGGAACACCAGUGGCGAAGGCGACUACCUGGCCUGUUCUUGACGCUGAGGCGCGAAAGCUAGGGGAGCAAACGGG